This 224-nucleotide long non-coding RNA is filed under the name Glycine max (soybean). RNAcentral describes it as "long non-coding RNA (GMAX_LNC001785)". Lineage: Eukaryota; Viridiplantae; Streptophyta; Magnoliopsida; Fabales; Fabaceae. The record is from RNAcentral.
GAGGAAAUAAGCUAUGAAAGUAAGCAAGAAAUUAAAGUGCAAGAAAUGCAAACUAGGCAGAUCCUAAGAGUGUUUGGGUGACCUCAUUUAAGGUUCCCAACAAAGCACUCACUAUCCUAAGGGAAAAUUGCGUAAAAUUAUUACACACAAAUGGAAGUAGGGUGACCUAUUGGAGGCUCCCAACUUACUUCCAAUGAAAGGCCUUUUUGUCACAGAAUUUGAAA